CUCUAGUUCACAUAUUUUCACUGUUGGCCUCACAUCACUCUAGAUCCAUAAAGGAGAUGUAAUUCCCUCCUGCUUUUCUGUUUUAAAUUGUAUGUUUUCCUUCAUUUAUGAAAAAUAAUUUUAACUUAUUUUAAAAGGUCUCUGAUUUUUCUGAAUACAUUUAAAAGAAGACCAGAAAUCUUCAUAAAAGUGAAAUUAUUUUUGUCAGUGCCAAGUUCCUCUUUUCUGAAAGGGGUCCUCUCCCUUCAGCUCCCAUCCCAAGAAGCCUCUCAACCUGGUGAGACCCGCUCAACUUCACCUCUGCUUAUUCAGCACUUACUCUUCAGAAUUUCGCAAGCAAGAAGAAUCUCAGAUGAUGAAGAAUUCACAAAAAGAAUGUUAAGCUAAACCUGAAGUAAGUGUUACAUAAUCAGGAGAAAGAAAUGCCAAAGGCAGAACUAAAGAAGAUCCUGGGACCCUUUAGUUUUUACGUUCCUGAGCUGCCUG
This 486-nucleotide long non-coding RNA is filed under the name Ursus americanus (American black bear). Its description in RNAcentral is "lncRNA (ENSUAMG00000023620.1)". The record is from RNAcentral. Lineage: Eukaryota; Metazoa; Chordata; Mammalia; Carnivora; Ursidae.